RNAcentral lists this ribosomal RNA (279 nucleotides) under uncultured bacterium. RNAcentral describes it as "partial 16S ribosomal RNA". It matches the Rfam family "Bacterial small subunit ribosomal RNA", at positions 506 to 784 of the family's 1533-position model. The record is from RNAcentral.
UGCCAGCCGCCGCGGUAAUACGAACUGUCCAAACGUUAUUCGGAAUCACUGGGCUUAAAGGGUGCGUAGGCGGCGUAGUAAGUUGGAUGUGAAAUCCUACGGCUCAACCGUAGAAUUGCGUUCAAUACUGCUAUGCUUGAGGGAGAUAGAGGUAAGCGGAACUUCGGGUGGAGCGGUGAAAUGCGUAGAUAUCCGAAGGAACACCAGUGGCGAAAGCGGCUUACUGGGUCUCUUCUGACGCUGAGGCACGAAAGCUAGGGUAGCGAACGGGAUUAGAUA